UAGAGUUUGAUCCUGGCUCAGAAUCAACGCUGGCGGCGUGCCUAACACAUGCAAGUCGCACGAGAAAGGGGCUUCGGCUCUGAGUAAAGUGGCGCACGGGUGAGUAACACGUGAAUUAUCUACCUCCGAGUGGGGAAUAACUGAGAGAAAUCUUAGCUAAUACCGCAUAACACUUACGAGUCAAAGCAGCAAUGCGCUUGGAGAGGAGUUCGCGGCCGAUUAGUUAGUUGGCGGGGUAAUGGCCCACCAAGACGAUGAUCGGUAUCCGGCCUGAGAGGGCGCACGGACACACUGGAACUGAAACACGGUCCAGACUCCUACGGGAGGCAGCAGUGGGGAAUUUUGCGCAAUGGGGGAAACCCUGACGCAGCAACGCCGCGUGGAGGAUGAAAUCCCUUGGGAUGUAAACUCCUUUCGAUAGGGAAGAUUAUGACGGUACCUAUAGAAGAAGCCCCGGCUAACUUCGUGCCAGCAGCCGCGGUAAUACGAGGGGGGCAAGCGUUGUUCGGAAUUAUUGGGCGUAAAGGGCGCGUAGGCGGUUUGACAAGUCUGAUGUGAAAUCUCUGGGCUCAACCCAGAGUCUGCAUUAGAAACUGUCGGGCUUGAGUAUGGGAGAGGUGAGUGGAAUUUCCGGUGUAGCGGUGAAAUGCGUAGAUAUCGGAAGGAACACCUGUGGCGAAAGCGGCUCACUGGACCAUAACUGACGCUGAGGCGCGAAAGCUAGGGGAGCAAACAGGAUUAGAUACCCUGG
Molecule: ribosomal RNA, 751 nt
Filed under: bacterium enrichment culture clone PA_35
Lineage: Bacteria
Description: bacterial SSU rRNA
Rfam family: Bacterial small subunit ribosomal RNA
Source: RNAcentral